GUCCACGCCCUAAACGAUGUCAACUGGUUGUUGGGUCUUCAUUGACUCAGUAACGAAGCUAACGCGUGAAGUUGACCGCCUGGGGAGUACGGCCGCAAAGGUUGAAAACUCAAAAGGAAUUGACGGGGACCCGCACAAGCGGUGGAUGAUGUGGUUUAAUUCGAUGCAACGCGAAAAAACCUUACCCACCUUUGACAUGUACGGAACUCGCCAUAGAUGGCUUGGUGCUCGAAAAGAGAAACCGUAAACACAGGUGCUGCAUGGCUGUCGU
RNAcentral lists this ribosomal RNA (271 nucleotides) under uncultured bacterium. RNAcentral describes it as "partial 16S ribosomal RNA". It matches the Rfam family "Bacterial small subunit ribosomal RNA", at positions 793 to 1055 of the family's 1533-position model. The record is from RNAcentral.